ACAGUGGACGCGAGCAUCUGUGGCCAAGUUUUUAAGGGCGCACGGUGGAUGCCUUGGCACCAGGAACCGAUGAAGGACGUGGGAGGCCACGAUAGGCCCCGGGGAGUCGUCAACCAGGCUUUGAUCCGGGGGUGUCCGAAUGGGGAAACCCGGCAGUCGUCAUGGGCUGUCACCCUUGCCUGAACACAUAGGGCAAGUGGAGGGAACGCGGGGAAGUGAAACAUCUCAGUACCCGCAGGAAGAGAAAACAACCGUGAUUCCGGGAGUAGUGGCGAGCGAAACUGGAUAAGGCUAAACCGUAUACGUGUGAGACCCGGCAGGGGUUGCGUAUGCGGGGUUGUGGGAUCUCUCUUCUGCUGUCUGCCUGCAGCAGGACGAGUCAGAAACCGUUGAUGUAGGCGAAGGACAUGCGAAAGGUCCGGCGUAGAGGGUAAGACCCCCGUAGUCGAAACGUCAGCGGCUCGUUUGAGAGACACCCAAGUAGCACGGGGCCCGAGAAAUCCCGUGUGAAUCUGGCGGGACCACCCGCUAAGCCUAAAUAUUCCCUGGUGACCGAUAGCGGAUAGUACCGUGAGGGAAUGGUGAAAAGUACCCCGGGAGGGGAGUGAAAUAGUACCUGAAACCGUGUGCCUACAAGCCGUGGGAGCGUCGGAUGGAAGCUUGCUUCCAUCUCGUGACUGCGUGCCUUUUGAAGAAUGAGCCUGCGAGUUUGCGGUGUGUUGCGAGGUUAACCCGGGUGGGGUAGCCGUAGCGAAAGCGAGUCCGAAUAGGGCGAUUCAGUAGCACGCUCAAGACCCGAAGCGGAGUGAUCUAGCCAUGGGCAGGUUGAAGCGGAGGUAAGACUUCGUGGAGGACCGAACCCACCAGGGUUGAAAACCUGGGGGAUGACCUGUGGUUAGGGGUGAAAGGCCAAUCAAACUCCGUGAUAGCUGGUUCUCCCCGAAAUGCAUUUAGGUGCAGCGUCGUGUGUUUCUUGCCGGAGGUAGAGCACUGGAUAGGCGAUGGGCCCUACCGGGUUACUGACCUUAGCCAAACUCCGAAUGCCGGUAAGUGAGAGCGCGGCAGUGAGACUGUGGGGGAUAAGCUCCAUGGUCGAGAGGGAAACAGCCCAGAGCAUCGACUAAGGCCCCUAAGCGUACGCUAAGUGGGAAAGGAUGUGGAGUCGCAGAGACAACCAGGAGGUUGGCUUAGAAGCAGCCACCCUUGAAAGAGUGCGUAAUAGCUCACUGGUCUAGUGAUUCCGCGCCGACAAUGUAGCGGGGCUCAAGCGUACCGCCGAAGUCGUGUCAUUGCGAUAUAUACCCCCAACGGGGAUCGUGAUGGGUAGGGGAGCGUCGUCUGCCGGGUGAAGCAGCACCGGAAGGUAGUUGUGGACGGUUGACGAGUGAGAAUGCAGGCAUGAGUAGCGAUUCACACGUGAGAAACGUGUGCGCCGAUUGACUAAGGGUUCCUGGGUCAAGCUGAUCUGCCCAGGGUAAGUCGGGACCUAAGGCGAGGCCGACAGG
This 1505-nucleotide ribosomal RNA is filed under the name Streptomyces sp. XY006. Its description in RNAcentral is "bacterial LSU rRNA". It matches the Rfam family "Bacterial large subunit ribosomal RNA", at positions 1 to 1409 of the family's 2925-position model. Lineage: Bacteria; Bacillati; Actinomycetota; Actinomycetes; Kitasatosporales; Streptomycetaceae. The record is from RNAcentral.